This 69-nucleotide transfer RNA is filed under the name Bos taurus (domestic cattle). It matches the Rfam family "tRNA". From Rfam's summary of the family: Transfer RNA (tRNA) molecules are approximately 80 nucleotides in length. Their secondary structure includes four short double-helical elements and three loops (D, anti-codon, and T loops). RNAcentral also lists the same sequence under 5 other names. The record is from Rfam by way of RNAcentral. Lineage: Eukaryota; Metazoa; Chordata; Mammalia; Artiodactyla; Bovidae.
CCUGAUAGCUCAGAUGGUAAAGCGUCUGCCUACAAUGCAGGAGACCCAGGUUCCAUCCCUGGGUCAGGA